Molecule: ribosomal RNA, 132 nt
Filed under: Penicillium egyptiacum
Lineage: Eukaryota; Fungi; Ascomycota; Eurotiomycetes; Eurotiales; Aspergillaceae
Source: RNAcentral
ACAUACGACCAUAGGGUGUGGAAAACAGGGCUUCCCGUCCGCUCAGCCGUACUUAAGCCACACGCCGGUGAGUUAGUAGUUGGGUGGGUGACCACCAGCGAAUCCUCACUGUUGUAUGUCCGUGUUCACCCG